GCCGGCUUAGCUCAAUUGGUAGAGCACCUGACUUGUAAUCAGGGGGUUGAGGGUUCAAGUCCUUUAGCCGGCACCA
RNAcentral lists this transfer RNA (76 nucleotides) under Cutibacterium acnes. RNAcentral describes it as "tRNA-Thr". It matches the Rfam family "tRNA". Rfam says of the family: Transfer RNA (tRNA) molecules are approximately 80 nucleotides in length. Their secondary structure includes four short double-helical elements and three loops (D, anti-codon, and T loops). Lineage: Bacteria; Bacillati; Actinomycetota; Actinomycetes; Propionibacteriales; Propionibacteriaceae. The record is from RNAcentral. RNAcentral also lists the same sequence under 6 other names.